Molecule: ribosomal RNA, 879 nt
Filed under: Plenodomus lingam (blackleg of rapeseed fungus)
Lineage: Eukaryota; Fungi; Ascomycota; Dothideomycetes; Pleosporales; Leptosphaeriaceae
Description: partial large subunit ribosomal RNA
Rfam family: Eukaryotic large subunit ribosomal RNA
Source: RNAcentral
ACAGGGAUUGCCCUAGUAACGGCGAGUGAAGCGGCAACAGCUCAAAUUUGAAAUCUGGCUCUUUUAGGGUCCGAGUUGUAAUUUGCAGAGGGCGCUUUGGCGUUGGCAGCGGUCCAAGUUCCUUGGAACAGGACGUCACAGAGGGUGAGAAUCCCGUACGUGGUCGCUGGCCUUCGCCGUGUAAAGCCCCUUCGACGAGUCGAGUUGUUUGGGAAUGCAGCUCUAAAUGGGAGGUAAAUUUCUUCUAAAGCUAAAUACUGGCCAGAGACCGAUAGCGCACAAGUAGAGUGAUCGAAAGAUGAAAAGCACUUUGGAAAGAGAGUCAAAUAGCACGUGAAAUUGUGAAAGGGAAGCGCUUGCAGCCAGACUUGCCUGUAGUUGCUCAUCUGGGCUUUUGUCCAGUGCACUCUUCUACAGGCAGGCCAGCAUCAGUUUGGGCGGUUGGAUAAAGGUCUCUGUCACGUACCUCCUUUCGGGGAGGCCUUAUAGGGGAGACGACAUGCAACCAGCUGGACUGAGGUCCGCGCAUCUGCUAGGAUGCUGGCGUAAUGGCUGUAAGCGGCCCGUCUUGAAACACGGACCAAGGAGUCUAACAUCUAUGCGAGUGUUUGGGUGUCAAGCCCGGACGCGUAAUGAAAGUGAACGGAGGUGGGAACCCUUUUAGGGUGCACCAUCGACCGAUCCUGAUGUCUUCGGAAGGAUUUGAGUAAGAGCAUGGCUGUUGGGACCCGAAAGAUGGUGAACUAUGCUUGAAUAGGGUGAAGCCAGAGGAAACUCUGGUGGAGGCUCGCAGCGGUUCUGACGUGCAAAUCGAUCGUCAAAUUUGGGCAUAGGGGCGAAAGACUAAUCGAACUAUCUAGUAGCUGGUUCCUGCCGAAG